UCGCCUGUUUAUCAAAAACAUCGCCUCUUGAUUACCAUAAGAGGUCUAGCCUGCCCAGUGACCAAUUUAACGGCCGCGGUACCCUAACCGUGCAAAGGUAGCAUAAUCACUUGUUUCUUAAAUGGGGACUAGUAUCAAUGGCAUCACGAAGACUACACUGUCUCCCCUUUAAAAUCAAUGAAACUGAUCCCCUCGUGAAGAAGCGAGGAUAUAAAUAUAAGACGAGAAGACCCCAUGGAGCUUUAAACGAACUUCAAUUGCUCCCCUCCUUACCAUAUAAGUUGAGCACUAAUGAUAGGUAGUUUUCGGUUGGGGCGACCGCGGAGUAAAACAAAACCUCCACAAUGAAUGUAAUAAAUACUAAUAAAAGAACCACAAUUCUAAUAAUCAAAAAUUUGACAUAAAUUGACCCAAACACUUGAUCAAUGAACCAAGUUACCCUGGGGAUAACAGCGCAAUCCAUUUUAAGAGCCCUUAUCGACAAAUGGGUUUACGACCUCGAUGUUGGAUCAGGGUAUCCCAGUGGUGCAGCCGCUACUAAUGGUUCGUUUGUUCAACGAUUAAAACCCUACGUGAUCUGAGUUCAGACCGGA
Molecule: ribosomal RNA, 593 nt
Filed under: Leptopelis kivuensis (Kisenyi forest treefrog)
Lineage: Eukaryota; Metazoa; Chordata; Amphibia; Anura; Arthroleptidae
Description: partial 16S ribosomal RNA
Rfam family: Bacterial large subunit ribosomal RNA
Source: RNAcentral